UACUCAAUCCUAAAUGCAAUGCAACAAUAUGAACACUCUGUUUUUGCGAAAUCAUUUUCCGAAAUUUAUUAUUUUUUUUGGUUUUUUCUAUGUCUUUGAUGAAUGCAGACUAAAGAGUAUAUACAAUGCAACACACACUUCCUGAGCCCUCCCCCAAACUUAAAUCACACAACUUUGGAAGAGAGUACUCAGGACAAAACACUUCACAUAAAUAAAAUAUAAACAAACGAUGGUAUUAUACAAUGGUAAAGUGAGACGCUUACCUCAGUCGAAGAGUGAACGGAGUUGGUCGUCAAUAGUUGCCUGUGAUUGCUCCCAGGACAUUGAAGAGUCGCCUUGUUCUAUCUUAGCUCCAGCAUGUGGGUACUCAACCUCAAUGCCUCUGUGGCGGCCAGCACCGUGGUCGAAUUGAUCUCCUCGAAUGGAUAAGGCGUGAUCUGCUGCUAGAGCAAGCGAGCAUAGCCUUCUUCUUCUUCUUGUGCUCCCGGGACUCGAAUGACAAAUGUCUGGCAGGGACAUGUGAGACUCUCUGCGCACUAGGCUCAGGUCUGAGCUGACUUGGCUCAGGCUCGUCAAAUCUCCUCGAUGGCAUGUCCUGAGGAGGUUGUCCCUGCGGAAUAGAUGUAGUGGAAGUCGAGCAGCUUAGCAUGGCCUUCAGAGACUUGAUAGUCUUUAGACAUUUGAUGAUGAACUUGUCUUGCUUCUUGCACCACUUCUGUAACUUGUUAUUGUUUCUGUGAGCUUCACUCAAGUUCUUACUCUCUCUCGCUGGAGCUACAUGCUCACUGAAAUGAUACAUGCUUGAAUCAUACUUCUCCUCAUAUGUCUCACCAAUCUCAUCCUCAGUAGCUUCUUCUGUAUGAACAUCCUCAUCUGUUGGCUGAGCGUUCUCGUAAUAGAGGUUCUCAAGUGCAGGCUUCAAAUCAAUGUUAUGUCCCUCUAUUAUGCGUGUAACCUCAGUAUCGGACUAGGGAGAAGGAUGUUGGCUUUCUUGUACGUAGAGUGCUCAAACUUAAAACGAUGCUUGUCGCCGACCAUUGCAAACUCUAGGAUUUCGCAGUGACGUAGAUGCCUGAGGUUCAUUGCUCUUGGCUCAAAUCCUUCACAUGUGAUUGGGACUCCACAAGCGAUGAGAAUCGGUGUGACAACACCUCCUAUGCAAAGAGCGCCUCGUGCUCUCUUGUGGUUAUUGUUGACAGCCAAGCUUUUGUAUCCACACAGGUGGAUACGAAGAAGUAUAAAGAGAGGUGUGUCAUUGGUUUUAUCUUGGAGAGACAUACCAUUCUUGGUUUGGCGGAGAGUACCUCUAAGAGCAAUAACGAUCAUCUCCAUAUACGAGUUGGUGACAGUCCAUGUUAUCUCUCUAGAGUACAAGACAUUGGCCACACAACACUGAAAGUACCAGAUGACAAGGCUGCGUAUCUGGUUGCUCUUGGAUCUCGAAGAAUUCAACGGUAUAGAGCUUCCAAUAGUGAGCCAUAAAUCCUUCAACUCAUCUCUGUCAAACUUGGGCUUGGUUCCCGUUCCACUGGGGAAACCAAACAAUCCUUCCAAGCGCUUGAUUGUCAACACAUAAUCUUGACCAUACACAAAGAAUCUAAAGAAUCCCAAUCCUUCAUUUUCCAAAUCAUCAGAGCUCAUACCUUGGUAGAGCUCCACUUGUAGUGUGGAGAGGAAUCGAAUCGUUUCUUCCUCGUAGGCUACAUAUGGGUAGCAACACGAUCUUUAAAGCCUAAGUAGUGUAUCCUUGUUAGAAGACACAAAGACAAAGACUCAUACGGACUUCGACUACACCAUCAAAGCUUUGCCCUUUUAUUCAUGAAGAAAGAAAAUACAUCGGUCUAUCUAAAGCAACAAAAUUCGUUCUAUCUUAACUAAUGAACAUCCAUAUCACUUUCCUUCACUAAUUUCCUUAGACGGACUUCCCUCUUCUCUUAUUACAAUUAGAACGGAUUGAAAAAAAAACUUACACCUCAUCCCUUCAAUCACCGUUACUCGAUCCGAACUUGAACCAUUCUCUUGCUACUUUUCUUUCUUCAA
This 2040-nucleotide small RNA is filed under the name Arabidopsis thaliana (thale cress). RNAcentral's name for it is "ATSL091930". Lineage: Eukaryota; Viridiplantae; Streptophyta; Magnoliopsida; Brassicales; Brassicaceae. The record is from RNAcentral.